Long non-coding RNA from Lepidothrix coronata (blue-crowned manakin), 901 nucleotides. RefSeq lists it as uncharacterized. Lineage: Eukaryota; Metazoa; Chordata; Aves; Passeriformes; Pipridae. The record is from RefSeq and is a predicted model, not a curated record. The transcript has 3 exons.
GAGCGGCGCCGGCAAGGGAGGGCGGCGGGUGGCAGGCUGGACGCUUCUCCCAUACGAAGAUUGUUCCUCCGCCACUGGCAGACACGGAGUAACUUCACCGAAGUUAAUUUAGACCUUCAGUUCAGGUACUUGAGGUCAACACAUGCAGCCCUGUCAUGCCAGUUAAAAGGAUAGAGGGAGGAGAAUUUCCCCUCAAUCACAUCUCACUUAGAAGAGACUGACAGACUUACAAAUGACAAGUGACAGCCCAGCCUUUGCCUCAGACAGAAGACCAACCCAUUGAAGCAGUGGUGAGAGAUCUUCCCACUGCAAGACAAGUUGCAGCCAUGAGCUCAUCAUGCACAUCCAUGGACUCCAUCAUGUUCCAUAUCCCUCUAAUGUAACCAGCACCCUGGCCUUAGGAUGACAUUUAGGGGUACCUUACAUGAUUAUCCUUGUACACAAAUCUAUGCAUUUUGAGAUACUGAUUUAUAAAUAAAUAAGCAUAUAAACUCCUGAUUUAUAAAUAAUAUCUAAAGUAAGAAACUAAUUUUAUAAACAUGGUUAUACCUGAUUAAACUCCUCUGACUCAAUAAGACUGCUCAAUGGGAGUAAAAAAUGUGCAUAAGAAAUUGUGUUGUCUGGAACUGGGUUAAGAACUUCUGGAAAUGAAUAUAAAAGUAUUGCAUUCAAGACUGAUUUCUUCUUUAUACUUUCCAAAAAACAUUAUUAUCAAAUGCAUUAAUCUUGUCAGUCCAUUAAAAUAUUUCACAACUUUUAAAAGGUUUUGAGAUUAAAAAAAUUAACCCCCCACCUAUUGAUAAUAACUGUCUUUCUAAAUCCAAAUUCUUAUAAGACCUAAUCAAUAGGUUUACUCAGAAACAGCUGACACCACUUAAAACUAUGUUAAUUAACACAGAUU